UAGUCUAAAACGUUCAGGGGACAGUCGUUUUGUAUAAAUUCGUAAAAAGUCACUUUUCAGCUGAGAUCGAAUAAAUAUUAAAUAUUGCUUGUGGAUAUUAAAACAGCAACGCAGCUGAUAAACUGACCCGAGACAACAAAGACUGAUGGGACUCGCCAAUUCGAACUUCCACGCAGAGGCACAGACGCUUUUCAUUUUUGUAUCGCUUCAAGGAAGCAGAGGCUGGAAUAUAUUUUUAUCUACACGUUAGAAAUCAAUCGAGAAACUUCAUUGUAGAAAGUACCGCAUAAACCGUUAUUUUAUUACACGUUUUUUACGACUAGGGCUUCCAACGCAUUGUACACAAGGCUAUACAAGCAAUAAAGGUUCCAUGAUGAUUAUUUAAUAAUAAAACCCCUAAUUUACUUGAGACGUCGAGGGUAUCGCUUCGAGAUUGUGCACGGUCUUCGACGUAAACGACUUUGUUUGUCAAUUAAUCUGCAAACGAUUCGAUGAUUGAUGCUUGAGUGACUUGAAACACUAGUAGUCGUUACAAGCAUUAUUGUUUAGAAUAGUAUUCUUAUUGUUCUAAAUUAUAUAUUUCCAGAGGAUCUUCACCAGGAAGAAACACAUACUACUCUAAAUAAUAAUGGCUACUUGUGUUUGUAAUUUAAGUCAUAGAUUCGCAACGAAGAGUAUACAACGGUAACGCUCGUACUGCUAGCGCUGUAUCGUUUCUUAAUCGUUUCUUUAGCCUGAAGCGCUAACCACCGUGAAACGCUUCUCCUUUUCCAGUUUUGCUGAAGAAGUGGACCUGUUUUCAAUGCGGGAAACGGUACCUCUGGCGGGGUUCCCUGCAGAAUCACAUCCGCGUGGAAUGCGGCAAAGAGCCUGCUUUCAAGUGUUCUAUUUGCGGCAGGAAGUUCAAGCACAAACAUCGCUGGAUGUCGCACGCCAAAUGCGUGCACGGUAUUAACUUCUAACGACGUGUACGUCGCGACGUCGACAACAUCCUCGGCUAGGUUUAAUCAUCUACUUUCCACGCGAAAGAACCUGCAUUGCGUUAGAAAAAGCUGUGUCGGUGCUUGCUUGUACGACGUUCAAUCCCUUCGCCACACCUCUGCCAAAUUUUGUUCGCUAUUCGCAACAUUUCCUUGUUUCAUUUGUUUUUACGCGUUACCAUUUUAGUCCCUAAGAAUGGUUUCGUUUAAUUAUCCAGCAACUACAUAGCUCGAUAGCGAAUGAAAUCAACCGAUCAAUUUUUCAAAACUCAACGAAUCGCGAAGACACACGUCGCAUUCUUUCCUUGUUGUAUGUAAACGUGUGCCACGUGAAAUCUCAGAAUAUAGUUUGAAGUAAAAAGAGAACACUUCGUAUCCCUUUCUUCCUUGUGCGAUUGCGAAACCGUCCAGUGUGUGCAUGCAUCGUACAUAACCAACUCCGCGUUUCCAAUUAUGUUUUGUCGAAUAUCAAGACACGUCCACGCCUCGAAGCCACAGUUUCGCGCGUAAAUUCGCGAAAUAUCCCCAUUAACGACUGGAUUUCUCUUUGCAGACAACGCGAGGAAACUGUGGUGGUGUUUCCAGUGCGGCAAGCAAUACAUGUGGAGGGACUCGCUGAAGAAGCACCUUCGAGUCGAGUGCGGCAAGGAUCCCACUUUCCAGUGUCCGAUAACAUACCAGACUUCAAGUUUGUCGUCGUAAAGGUGGCCUGUCCGAGCUGCGAAAAGUUUUUCAAAAAUCAUUAUCAGCUUCGAUUGCACCAACAGCAAGCACACUCGCAAAAGCGCUUAAUGGAUUGUUACUUUUGCGAGGAGAGCUUCACAAUGAAAAAAUCCUUGUUGGCACAUAUGGCAUCUGCGCAUCCAUAUCCUAAAUUGGGAACUAAACCAUUGAAUCCCUUGAAACCCUGGUGGUGCUUCCAAUGCGGUAGGCAAUACGUGUGGAGGGGCUCGUUGAAGAAUCACCUUCGAAUAGAGUGCGGCAAGGAACCCACUUUUUCGUGUCCGGUUUGUGGGAGGAGGUUCUUGUACCAAUAUCGCUGUAAAUCGCACGCUAGAUUGAUUCACGGUAUCAACAUAUGACUGACCGAGGUGUCCACAUAAUUUAACUAAUCGCCAUGAUUCGUUGACGAACUGUCAACGCCUGUAGGUGACUUGCCUUCAUCCAAAAAUUUAGUUCCCACGUGUCGUUUGAACGCUACACUGAUCCAUUGUGUAAAUGUCAAAAAUGUUUCAAAAGUUCAUGGCUUCGAGCAAAAACAAAUUAUUUUUAAGCAUUCCGUUAUAUUUUGUUUUUUUUUUUGCAUAUCCAUACUUUCACAUCGCCUGUUCCAAAAACGAGAAUAAUUAUGUUGCAAUUGGUACUUGUUUAAAGAAAAUAAAUAAACGUUGUAUUGAUUCUGA
Hylaeus anthracinus is the source of this 2383-nucleotide long non-coding RNA. RefSeq lists it as uncharacterized. The record is from RefSeq and is a predicted model, not a curated record. Lineage: Eukaryota; Metazoa; Arthropoda; Insecta; Hymenoptera; Colletidae. The transcript is spliced from 2 exons.